This 558-nucleotide long non-coding RNA is filed under the name Octopus vulgaris (common octopus). Lineage: Eukaryota; Metazoa; Mollusca; Cephalopoda; Octopoda; Octopodidae. The record is from RNAcentral.
AAGUUGGUCAUCAAAGCAUGAGUGCUACAACAUCACAUAUAACAUCUUAAAUAAACAUUGUAAAUUAUUCUUUUGUUUGAUUAUAAUCUAGUUUCUCCUUUUCCUCUUUCUCCUUUCUCAUCACCUAUUCUUCUUCUUUCUCAUUUUUUUUUUGUCUUUUUGCUCAUCCUCUCUUCUUUUCUUUUCUUGUUUUUCCUCCUCCUCCUCCUCCUCUUCCUACUUCUUCUUCUCCUUCUUGUCUUUCCCAUUCCUCUCAUUCUUACAUUGUCUCGUAUUUAACUCCUGAAAAGACAAAGCAACAGUUAUGGGUUGGGGUAGGGGGUGGAGGUGACAGAUUAAAGACACCACCAACAACAACAACAAUAAUAACAACAACAACUACUAUUAUUACUUCUAUUACAACAAGAAAAUAAUGAUGAUGAUUGUUGAGGGGAGGGUUGGGAAUUGUUUAUAUUUAUUAUUACGUUUUUUGUUUUGUUUUUUUUUUGUUUUUUACUACUUCCCUGUGGAUCAAUAAAUAAAUGAAUAAAUAAAUAAAUGAAUUUUUAACCCCUCCUG